GCAUAUCAUAGCGGAGGAAAAGAACCAACAGGGAUUGCCUAGUAACGGCGAGUGAAGCGGCAACAGCUCAAAUUUGAAAUCUGGCUCUCGGGCCCGAGUUGUAAUUUGUAGAGGAUGCUUUUGAUGCGGUGCCUUCCGAGUUCCCUGGAACGGGACGCCAUAGAGGGUGAGAGCCCCGUCUGGUUGGAUGCCAAAUCUCUGUAAAGCUCCUUCGACGAGUCGAGUAGUUUGGGAAUGCUGCUCUAAAUGGGAGGUAUAUGUCUUCUAAAGCUAAAUACCGGCCAGAGACCGAUAGCGCACAAGUAGAGUGAUCGAAAGAUGAAAAGCACUUUGAAAAGAGAGUUAAAAAGUACGUGAAAUUGUUGAAAGGGAAGCGUUUAUGACCAGACUUGGGCUUGGUUAAUCAUCUGGGGUUCUCCCCAGUGCACUUUUCCAGUCCAGGCCAGCAUCAGUUUUCGCCGGGGGAUAAAGGCUUCGGGAAUGUGGCUCUCUCCGGGGAGUGUUAUAGCCCGUUGCGUAAUACCCUGGCGGGGACUGAGGUUCGCGCAUCUGCAAGGAUGCUGGCGUAAUGGUCAUCAACGACCCGUCUUGAAACACGGACCAAGGAGUCGUCUUCGUAUGCGAGUGUUCGGGUGUCAAACCCCUACGCGUAAUGAAAGUGAACGCAGGUGAGAGCUUCGGCGCAUCAUCGACCGAUCCUGAUGUUCUCGGAUGGAUUUGAGUAAGAGCAUACGGGGCCGGACCCGAAAGAAGGUGAACUAUGCCUGUGUAGGGUGAAGCCAGAGGAAACUCUGGUGGAGGCUCGCAGCGGUUCUGACGUGCAAAUCGAUCGUCAAACAUGGGCAUGGGGGGCGAAAGACUAAUCGAACCUUCUAGUAGCUGGUUUCCGCCGAAG
This 895-nucleotide ribosomal RNA is filed under the name Fusarium incarnatum. RNAcentral's name for it is "LSU rRNA". It matches the Rfam family "Eukaryotic large subunit ribosomal RNA", at positions 38 to 966 of the family's 3401-position model. Lineage: Eukaryota; Fungi; Ascomycota; Sordariomycetes; Hypocreales; Nectriaceae. The record is from RNAcentral.